AUCGCAAAAAAUCUAUUUUGAGUGUUUGGUAAAAAAAUUAACAAAAACUGAUUUUUUUGCGUUUUAUAGACAUCAAAAUGUGAUAAUCCAAAAGUAGGUCACCCCUACCGGAGGAAAACGUGAUUCCACAAUAUAGUCUGCUAAAAUUUACCGCCAUAUCUAUUAUCACCCCUCUCCCUUUGUAUACAUCGUUAGAACCCUAAUCACUUUGGCGGACUGUAACAAAAGUGGGCUUCUCAAAUGGUGGAUUCUUUCUACUUGUUGAUCAUCAUUCCCUUCUCACAGUUGAGGCUUACCCACUUGGGUACUUUGGAGGUCAUGUUCAACUUGGUUGGGUUGAAGUUAUAAGGAGGAGUGAGGUUGAGGCCAUGUUAUCGAGUGCAGUUGGCAAGAUACCUAUUGGGAUUAAGAUUUCACUUAGUUAUUUUUUAAAAUACAUAUAUUUGCCAAACACUCAAUAGUUGAUUAUCUGAUUAUUGUGAUAUCAAACAACAUAAUCAAAUCCAAACACUAUCUUUCUGCAGCACGUUUUGUUACAGCUAAUUAUCUGAUUCUGAUUAUUCAAAACGCAUAAUCUAUUUU
RNAcentral lists this long non-coding RNA (582 nucleotides) under Helianthus annuus (common sunflower). Its description in RNAcentral is "sRNA HanXRQr2_Chr08g0323491". The record is from RNAcentral. Lineage: Eukaryota; Viridiplantae; Streptophyta; Magnoliopsida; Asterales; Asteraceae.